UACAGAGGGUGCAAGCGUUGUUCGGAAUUAUUGGGCGUAAAGCGCGUGUAGGCGGUUUGUCGCGUCUGCCGUGAAAGUCCGGGGCUCAACUCCGGAUCUGCGGUGGGUACGGGCAGACUAGAGUGAUGUAGGGGAGACUGGAAUUCCUGGUGUAGCGGUGAAAUGCGCAGAUAUCAGGAGGAACACCGAUGGCGAAGGCAGGUCUCUGGGCAUUAACUGACGCUGAGGAGCGAAAGCAUGGGGAGCGAACAGG
This 253-nucleotide ribosomal RNA is filed under the name uncultured bacterium. Its description in RNAcentral is "partial 16S ribosomal RNA". It matches the Rfam family "Bacterial small subunit ribosomal RNA", at positions 524 to 776 of the family's 1533-position model. The record is from RNAcentral.